Molecule: long non-coding RNA, 248 nt
Organism: Passer montanus (Eurasian tree sparrow)
Lineage: Eukaryota; Metazoa; Chordata; Aves; Passeriformes; Passeridae
Exons: 2
Source: RefSeq, a predicted model, not a curated record
AGGGACACCCGGGGAUGGGACACCCCAGGCUGGGACACCCCGGGCCGGGACCCCCCAAGCCGGGACCCCCCAAGCCGGGACCCCCCGGGCCGGGACCCCCGGGACCGUGCGGCGCAGCCGGGCUGAGGACGGGACCCAUAUAGAGCCUGGGGACAGCGCGGGCAGCGGCCACUAGGAGUGGCCGCGGCAGCCGGACGCCAGCGCAGAUUUUUUUAUUCCAUUUUCUAAGAUUUUGGGGCCGCCCAGAA